Molecule: ribosomal RNA, 301 nt
Filed under: uncultured bacterium
Lineage: Bacteria
Description: partial 16S ribosomal RNA
Rfam family: Bacterial small subunit ribosomal RNA
Source: RNAcentral
CAGCCGCCACGGUAAUACGUAUGUCACGAGCGUUAUCCGGGUUUAUUGGGCGUAAAGCGCGUCUAGGUGGUUAUAUAAGUCUGAUGUGAAAAUGCAGGGCUCAACUCUGUAUUGCGUUGGAAACUGUAUAACUAGAGUACUGGAGAGGUAAGCGGAACUACAAGUGUAGAGGUGAAAUUCGUAGAUGUUUGUAGGAAUGCCGAUGGGGAAGCCAGCUUACUGGACAGAUACUGACGCUGAAGCGCGAAAGCGUGGGUAGCAAACAGGAUUAGAGACCCCCGUAGUCCCUGUCUCUUAUACA